GACGAACGCUGGCGGCGUGCCUAAUACAUGCAAGUCGAACGAGUUGCGAACGGGUGAGUAACGCGUGGUAACCUGCCUCAUAGCGGGGGAUAACUAUUGGAAACGGUAGCUAAUACCGCAUAUCAUGAGAUGGACCUGCUUUGUAUGAGCUAGUGGGUGAGGUAAAGGCUCACCAAGGCGACGAUACAUAGCCGACCUGAGAGGGUGAUCGGCCACACUGGAACUGAGACACGGUCCAGACUCCUACUGUAGGCAGCAGUGGGGAAUAUUGCACAAUGGGGGAUAGCCUGAUGCAGCUAUGCCGCGUUUGAAGAAGGCCUUCGGGUUGUAAAGCACUUUCAGCGAGGAGGCGUUACUCGCAGAAGAAGCACCGGCUAACUCCGUGCCAGCAGCCGCGGUAAUUC
RNAcentral lists this ribosomal RNA (404 nucleotides) under uncultured bacterium. RNAcentral describes it as "partial 16S ribosomal RNA". It matches the Rfam family "Bacterial small subunit ribosomal RNA", at positions 28 to 526 of the family's 1533-position model. The record is from RNAcentral.